This 1146-nucleotide ribosomal RNA is filed under the name Aliarcobacter butzleri. RNAcentral describes it as "partial 23S ribosomal RNA". It matches the Rfam family "Bacterial large subunit ribosomal RNA", at positions 977 to 2102 of the family's 2925-position model. Lineage: Bacteria; Pseudomonadati; Campylobacterota; Epsilonproteobacteria; Campylobacterales; Arcobacteraceae. The record is from RNAcentral.
ACAGGAGUCAGGCGGUGGGUGAUAAAAUCAAUCGUCGAGAGGGGAACAACCCAGACUAACAGCUAAGGUCCCUAAGUUACAUCUAAGUGGAAAACGAUGUGGAGUUACUGUGACAACCAGGAGGUUGGCUUAGAAGCAGCCAUCCUUUAAAGAAAGCGUAACAGCUCACUGGUCUAGUGAUUCUGCGCGGAAAAUAUAACGGGGCUAAGAUGUACACCGAAGCUUUAGAUUCAAUUUUUAAUUGAGUGGUAGGAGAGCGUUCUAUUCAGCGUAGAAGAUGUACCGGUAAGGAGCGUUGGAGCGGAUAGAAGUGAGCAUGCAGGCAUGAGUAGCGAUAAUUGAGGUGAGAAUCCUCAACGCCGAAAACCCAAGGUUUCCUACGCGAUGCUCGUCAUCGUAGGGUUAGUCGGGACCUAAGUCGAGUCCGAAAGGGGUAGACGAUGGCAAAUUGAUUAAUAUUUCAAUACCAACAUAUAAGCGCGAUGUGGGGACGCAUAGAGUUAAUCGAGGUCACUGAUGGAAUAGUGGCUCGAAGGACGUAGGCUGUUAAGUAGGCAAAUCCGCUUAACAUUAGGCCGAGAUCUUACAGGCUCUUGACACUCUUCGGAGGAGAUGGAGAAUCGAUGAUACUGUCGUGCCAAGAAAAGCCACUAAGUUUAUUAUAUGUUGCCCGUACCGUAAACCGACACAGGUGGGUGGGAUGAGUAUUCUAAGGCGCGUGGAAGAACCCUGGUUAAGGAACUCUGCAAACUAGCACCGUAUCUUCGGUAUAAGGUGUGCCUACUUUUGUAUAUGAACUUGCUUCAAAAAGCGAAAGAGGUUGCAACAAAGAGUCCCUCCCGACUGUUUACCAAAAACACAGCACUUUGCUAACACGUAAGUGGAUGUAUAAGGUGUGACGCCUGCCCGGUGCUCGAAGGUUAACUGAUGAUGUCAGCGCAAGCGAAGCAUUUGAUUGAAGCCCGAGUAAACGGCGGCCGUAACUAUAACGGUCCUAAGGUAGCGAAAUUCCUUGUCGGUUAAAUACCGACCUGCAUGAAUGGCGUAACGAGAUGGGAGCUGUCUCAACCAGGGAUCCAGUGAAAUUGUAGUGGAGGUGAAAAUUCCUCCUACCCGCGGAAAGACGGAAAGACCCCGUGCACCUUU